RNAcentral lists this transfer RNA (64 nucleotides) under Choaspes benjaminii (Indian awkling). Its description in RNAcentral is "tRNA-His". The record is from RNAcentral. Lineage: Eukaryota; Metazoa; Arthropoda; Insecta; Lepidoptera; Hesperiidae.
AUUUGAAUAAUUUAUAUAAAAUAUUGAUUUGUGGUAUCAAAAAAAUGAAUGAAAUCAUUUCAAA